AUUGAACGCUGGCGGCAGGCCUAACACAUGCAAGUCGAACGAGUGGCGGACGGGUGAGUAAUGUCUGGGAAACUGCCCGAUGGAGGGGGAUAACUACUGGAAACGGUAGCUAAUACCGCAUACCAUCGGAUGUGCCCAGAUGGGAUUAGCUUGUAGGUGAGGUAACGGCUCACCUAGGCGACGAUCCCUAGCUGGUCGGAGAGGAUGACCAGCCCAGCGGGAACUGAGACACGGUGCAGACUCCGACGGGAGGCAGCAGUGGGGAAUAGUGCACAAUGGGCGCAAGCCUGAUACAGCCAUGACGCGGUUAUGAAGAAGGCCGUCUGGUUGUAAAGUAAUUUCAGCGGGGAGGCGUUACCCGCAGAAGAAGCACCGGCUAACUCCGUUCCAGCAGCUGCGGUAAUUU
This 406-nucleotide ribosomal RNA is filed under the name uncultured bacterium. RNAcentral's name for it is "partial 16S ribosomal RNA". It matches the Rfam family "Bacterial small subunit ribosomal RNA", at positions 30 to 526 of the family's 1533-position model. The record is from RNAcentral.